Long non-coding RNA from Nomascus leucogenys (northern white-cheeked gibbon), 3265 nucleotides. RefSeq lists it as uncharacterized. The transcript is spliced from 5 exons. NCBI's taxonomy places the organism in Eukaryota, Metazoa, Chordata, Mammalia, Primates, Hylobatidae. The record is from RefSeq and is a predicted model, not a curated record.
AAUCCACCCAUCUUGGCCUCUUAAAGUGGUGGAAUUACAGGUGUGAACCACCGCACCCAGCCAUUAGCUUGAAUUUAUAAUGUUUAUAACCUUAAACAUCUGCCAGACAUAUUAGUUUAUUAAAUGAGUAAACCCAAAUAGAAUAAAGAUAUAUGCCCAUAUUAUACUUGAAACUGACAACGCAGAAGACAGCUGUUUUUAUUAAACCAAAAAUAUUAAACUAACUUUAUUUACCAAAGAUUUACCCAAGUCAUGUGAACUUGAAAAGCAUUUGGGUUUCUUUCUAUAUCGCUGGGAGUUUUAGGAAUAUUCCAUGGAGAUAAGUGUUCAUUUAUCUUUCGGCCAAUUUGAAUAGAGCUCCUUUAAGAGAUUUUAUAAAUUCAUUAGUUAAUACCAUCCAGAGGUGGAAAAAAAUCACAUAUACAUAACAUACAUUCAUACAUAAACAUAGAGACAGGCAUAAACAGAGAUCUUGGUUUCAUUCUAAACUUUUAGCCAUGAAUCAUUAAUACAAAACUCAUUGAUUCAUAUCUUCUUUAUAUUUUUAUCCGAAUUAUAUUUCUGACAAAAAUGGGACAAGGUUACCUAUUGAAUAAAGGCUAAAGCCUUUUUUAAAUCAAUAUUUGUAGAGAAGACUUUUAAGAUUUUCUUUUACCCUGAUGUGUAAUCUUAUGAAGUCCGUGGAUACUAUUUUAGGCAAGAGACUAAGGAGACAUCUAGCGGCUGUUUGAAUAUCUCCAAAACACAUCUGAGUGGAUAAAAUAUUCAGUCUAUUUCUACUUAUCCUUUUUCCUUUUGAGCUUCAGGUAGUUGCCUUUGGGGUCACUAAGUCCCUUGAGAGCCCCCAAUGGGGUCGAGCAACCUAAAGGUAAAGAGACUGGGAAGUUGAGGGGUCAAAAUGGGAAGGGAAGUCUGGCAGGAGUGGACAGAGGAAUGGAAGAGGUAGGAGUUUGCCAGGGACAUAUUAAAGCAUUCAAGGCAGCUGAAGAGAAGAUUGAAGGUAGCAAUGAAACCAAGUACCCCAUUUUCUUAAAAGGAAUUAUUUUUACUUUUUUUUCUUUUUCCCUCGCCUCUUACUUAGCUCUUUAGGAAUACAAUUAAAAUCUUUACCUUCUUUUUAGCAGGCACUCCCUGCACUGCAAGCUUAUCUAUGUUUUUGCUUAGAAGUUCCAGGGACCAAAUCUCAAAACAAACAAAGCACCCUCUGGAAUUCUCCCCCACCGGGAGACUGCCUCAAAACAGCAAUUAAUUAACAACCCACUUCUGUCCACGAAAGCACUGACCAGACCAUCAGAUCACAGCAUCACUUAAGGAUGUCUGCUGCCUUCAAUGGCUUGCUGGUAUAAAGAAUGUGACCUCUGAAGAAAUUUGGCAACCUUUGAAACUGGUUAUAGGGCUUUGACUCCUGGAUACACAUAUCUCAUCUAAAGAAGACACUGACUCCUGCCAGUAUCUGACACCAGACUCAAGUUAACCAAAGUCUUCUCUUUAGACUCAGGCAAAGGCAACAAUCAAAAUAAACUGCUUUCAUGAGACACAGGGAAAGGGUGCCCUGCCCUUCCAGCCUGGUACCUUGCCCCUUGGGGCAUAAUAUUUCUGAAAACUGUCCAAAGGACCUGCAUAUUGUUAAGAACAGCUGCAAAAUGUACCAGAGAGAAAGAUCAGAUACAAUCACUGAGAUCACGGGAGGAAUCGCAUCUGGAAAGGCGGAAAGGCAAAGAGAAAGAUCAGAACACUGGAGGCCUGAGUUUAUGGGCUGGAGGAGGUUAAGGGCCGCAAACUGAAAGCUGCACAAAGAGAAUCGGCUGUUGCAUGAAAAGGUAGUUUGCCCGAAUUCACUGGAGCACCUGUCACCAUCCAGGCACUGACCAUUAAGUUCUUCCCGGUCCUCGAUUCCCAGGGUGCGAUAAUGGUGCCAUCUUGGCUUCUCCUGGGCUGAAGUUUCAGUCCCUGCUGUUGAUGAAACGGUGCGCCUCCGCAGAUUCUGGGCUGCGAUCUGCGGUAAUCCCCGGUCGGGACAAGAAGUGCAACGCUUCUUGAGAAAAGUCCAAGUACUCCAAAAUUUUAGCCAUGACUCCACCACCUCAGAAUGCAAGUGUAGACCGCAGCCCAGUGCUUAGUGCAUCCAAGAAUGUUAAUGUUUACACUGCAUGGGCUCCGGCCGCAACAGUGGCACAUUGCAUCCUCUGCUGUGCUCCACCUCCGGGCUUCUGGUUACUACGUACUCUACACAAGCUUAAGUGUUUCCUGUGUUGGGCUCCUGCUGUGGGCCUGGGCAAGUUUCCACUUUUUCCCUGCCUCCUCCUCCUUCCACCUUUUCUCCCUUUUUCUAGAAAUAAAAUCCUAAUCUUAUGCUCAGAAAUAAAUAAAAUUUUAUUGUCAAAUAAAAGAGGCAGGCCAAAUUGAGGACUAUGGUUCUCCCUUCAAGAUGUGUUUUGCGGACGCUCCAGGAGAUGUUAAUAUCCUGAGCACUGGAAAUAGCUUCCAAUAAUAGGCCCUAUGCUUGGUAUCAUACUAUGAUAUUGGUCUAUCGUAUUUUUCCCUUUGCAACUAUCAUUAUCUUCAGCACCAUUUUGUGAAAGAAACUAAACCAUUUUCAUGGACCGCUAAGGGUGUCAUUGGGCUUAGGUACCUCACCUACUGUACCUAAUGGAUAAGUGCCCCUGCCUCAUAUUUCUGCAAGAUGGCUAAGAAAUCAGCUUAAAAAAAAAGGUGAUUAAACAAUUCACUUUUAAAAAGAUGUCAAGGGAUGGCAAUCUCACAACCUCUCUCUGACUUCAACCAAAAUCUGACUUUUGUUGGAGUCUGGCCCCCUCUCCUUCUCUUGACUAAUCAGUUCAUGAUCAAUUUUCAGCCUUGGAUCAAAUACUGCAUGAGAGACAUGUAAGAGUUUUAAUCAUGGAGUGCAGUAGACUAGCUGGGACAUCUGUGUCAGCUCGAUGUUCUUCCACAUCUCAGAUUUCCACAGUGUACCCCAGUGUUUUCUCACCUUCAGUCACUCAUAGGCAUCUUAGGUGAGUGUUGUUGCCCUAUGUGGGCACCAGAAAAGCUAGUACUUACUUAAAUGUUUUACUUUAAAUAUAAUUUAAUUUUUAAUUUUUGAUUCACUCUUGAAAACCUUAAGUACCUAGUGGAACCCUCAUCCUAAGCAAAAAUAGCCACAAAUCACGGCCUGAUGUAACAGAUUUAUGUGAGCAGCGACCCCAGAACCCGACUGGGUAUCUGAAUCAUGGCUUCACUCACUACUUGCUAGCUGGCUAAUCUG